Molecule: ribosomal RNA, 253 nt
Filed under: uncultured bacterium
Lineage: Bacteria
Description: partial 16S ribosomal RNA
Rfam family: Bacterial small subunit ribosomal RNA
Source: RNAcentral
UACGUAGGGUGCGAGCGUUGUCCGGAUUUAUUGGGCGUAAAGAGCGUGUAGGCGGCCAGGUAGGUCUGCUGUGAAAACUCGAGGCUCAACCUCAAGACGUCGGCGGAAACCAUCUGGCUAGAGUCCGGAAGAGGAGAGUGGAAUUCCUGGUGUAGCGGUGAAAUGCGCAGAUAUCAGGAAGAACACCCGUGGCGAAGGCGGCUCUCUGGGACGGUACUGACGCUGAGACGCGAAAGCGUGGGGAGCGAACAGG